UGUCGUCAGCUCGUGUCGUGAGAUGUUGGGUUAAGUCCCGCAACGAGCGCAACCCUUGAUUUUAGUUGCCAGCAUUUAGUUGGGCACUCUAAAGUGACUGCCGGUGCAAGCCGGAGGAAGGUGGGGAUGACGUCAAAUCAUCAUGCCCCUUAUGACCUGGGCUACACACGUGCUACAAUGGAUGGUACAAAGGGUCGCGAAGCCGCGAGGUGGAGCCAAUCCCAUAAAACCAUUCUCAGUUCGGAUUGUAGGCUGCAACUCGCCUACAUGAAGCCGGAAUCGCUAGUAAUCGUGGAUCAGCAUGCCACGGUGAAUACGUUCCCGGGCCUUGUACACACCGCCCGUCACACCACGAGAGUUUGUAACACCCGAAGUCGGUAGGGUAACCUUUAUGGAGCCAGCCGCCGAAGGUGGGACAGAUAAUUGGGGUGAAGUCGUAACAAGGUAGCCGUAUCGGAAGGUGCGGCUGGAUCACCUCCUUUCUAAGGAA
Molecule: ribosomal RNA, 490 nt
Filed under: Listeria monocytogenes
Lineage: Bacteria; Bacillati; Bacillota; Bacilli; Caryophanales; Listeriaceae
Also listed under: 1 other name
Description: bacterial SSU rRNA
Rfam family: Bacterial small subunit ribosomal RNA
Source: RNAcentral